UGUAGCUCAGUGGUAGAGCACUUGCUUGGCAUGUAUGAGGCCCUAGGUUUAAUUCCCAGUA
RNAcentral lists this transfer RNA (61 nucleotides) under Neotoma lepida (desert woodrat). It matches the Rfam family "tRNA", at positions 6 to 65 of the family's 71-position model. From Rfam's summary of the family: Transfer RNA (tRNA) molecules are approximately 80 nucleotides in length. Their secondary structure includes four short double-helical elements and three loops (D, anti-codon, and T loops). Lineage: Eukaryota; Metazoa; Chordata; Mammalia; Rodentia; Cricetidae. The record is from Rfam by way of RNAcentral.